GCCUGGGUGGCUCAGUCGGUUAAGUGUCUGACUUCGGCUCAGGUCAUGAUCUCACGGUCCAUGGGUUCGAGCCCCGUGUCGGGCU
This 85-nucleotide transfer RNA is filed under the name Felis catus (domestic cat). It matches the Rfam family "tRNA". From Rfam's summary of the family: Transfer RNA (tRNA) molecules are approximately 80 nucleotides in length. Their secondary structure includes four short double-helical elements and three loops (D, anti-codon, and T loops). The record is from Rfam by way of RNAcentral. Lineage: Eukaryota; Metazoa; Chordata; Mammalia; Carnivora; Felidae.